Molecule: long non-coding RNA, 1304 nt
Filed under: Fragaria vesca (wild strawberry)
Lineage: Eukaryota; Viridiplantae; Streptophyta; Magnoliopsida; Rosales; Rosaceae
Description: long non-coding RNA (FVES_LNC000898)
Source: RNAcentral
CUUAAUCUGAUAAUUAAGCAAAGCAACAGUCUUUUUCACUAGCUAAACACCUUCUAAAUCUAAUCUCUGUUCCUUAAACUAUGAUUUAAGUAUAUUAAAAGCACAGUCAUGAAAACAGAGUUUCAUCAGCCCGAAUGCUUUAUAAAAGAAAUGAAGCAACGGGGUUACUAAUCAGAGACAAAUUUAACAUACACCCGUAUUUUGUACGAGAACUUGUAAACUCGAGAAUUUCAGGAGCGUGUUUAGUGCGACUUCGCUAAGCUAAACUACAACACACUAGCUAGACUAAGUUUCUCUGAUCAACCCAGUAAACUAUGAUACGAACUUGUUCCAUUUUACACAAUAAACUACAUGAUAUGCUAUACAUGAACGUUGUUUAUAUAUAAAUAAUAAUCCAAAUAAAUCGACAAGAAAAACGUUCAUAUUUCUGGAGAAUCUUUGCAUAUAUAUAUAUAUAUACAUGGAUCUUCUCACCUGGACUGGAGCUUAAUUAUAAACCUGCGUUUGCAUGUGCAUGCCUUCAUAGCUGAAUCUAAACGUACACACAGAGAAGAAGAGAGAAUUGAAGUAAAUGUUGAGUUGGAAUCGGACGGUGGCACGAAAAUAACGGUGUCGGUUGCAGGUCUUUACAAACCAGCCGACAAGUCAGCUCCAUCGGUCGGUUUGUCACGACCUCUUCUUCUUCGUCCCAACUCUCUCACUCAAACCGUCGUCGCUUCCGCCGACUGUCCCCGUCGCCCGGCAGGUGAAAGUCGUCUAUCAAAACUGGGUUUGUUAUGUUUCCCUUUCCCUAGCUAUCCUUCUCGAUAUGUUGAUAUGUUCAAAUCAGAACUUAAUUAGCUAAAAUAGACAAGAUCGGAGGCUCCGAUUCGGAGCUAAGGUUAUGCAUUGUGUGUUUCAAAACUCAUUCAGACACGUUAUAAGAUUCCUGAUCGAUUUGGACGCGCCAGAUUUAGGAUAAGGGUUUUUAUUACAAGUGAACUAUUCUAAUUUGUUUGCAUCGCAUGUUGAACAAAACUAUAUAAAAGCUAGUAGCAGCUUUAGAAUUUUCUUUUCUUCCCGGCCUUCAUGAACAAAAGAAUAUUUAUUCAGGUCAUGAUCAUAAAGAGUGAAGUUGAUAAACAACUUUUGUUUGGAGAAAGGAAGUAAGAAUGACAUGUUUUUGUUGAUGAAUCUCACUGAAUGAGAGAUAAUAGGAGAUUACAUGGAAAAAAAUUUACUCAUGUUUUUGUUUUUGUAAGUUUUACUCAUGUUUUUCAGAGAUAAUCAUUUUGUAUACGAGUUAAGACUUACGUUCUCACGAU